CCUACGGGAGGCUGCAGUCGAGAAUCAUUCACAAUGGGGGAAACCCUGAUGGUGCGACGCCGCGUGGGGGAAUGAAGGUCUUCGGAUUGUAAACCCCUGUCAUGUGGGAGCAAAUUAAAAAGAUAGUACCACAUGAGGAAGAGACGGCUAACUCUGUGCCAACAGCCGCGGUAAUACAGAGGUCUCAAGCGUUGUUCGGAAUCACUGGGCGUAAAGCGUGCGUAGGCUGUUUCGUAAGUCGUGUGUGAAAGGCGCGGGCUCAACCCGCGGACGGCACAUGAUACUGCGAGACUAGAGUAAUGGAGGGGGAACCGGAAUGCUCGGUGUAGCAGUGAAAUGCGUAGAUAUCGAGAGGAACACUCGUGGCGAAGGCGGGUUCCUGGACAUUAACUGACGCUGAGGCACGAAGGCCAGGGGAGCGAAAGGGAUUAGAUACCCGAGUAGUC
RNAcentral lists this ribosomal RNA (446 nucleotides) under uncultured bacterium. RNAcentral's name for it is "partial 16S ribosomal RNA". It matches the Rfam family "Bacterial small subunit ribosomal RNA", at positions 338 to 795 of the family's 1533-position model. The record is from RNAcentral.